GGGCCCGCACAAGCGGUGGAGCAUGUGGUUUAAUUCGAUGCAACGCGAAGAACCUUACCUGGUCUUGACAUAUCUAGAAUCCUGCAGAGAUGCGGGAGUGCCUUCGGGAAUUAGAAUACAGGUGCUGCAUGGCUGUCGUCAGCUCGUGUCGUGAGAUGUUGGGUUAAGUCCCGCAACGAGCGCAACCCUUGUCCUUAGUUACCAGCGGGUUAAGCCGGGAACUCUAAGGAUACUGCCAGUGACAAACUGGAGGAAGGCGGGGACGACGUCAAGUCAUCAUGGCCCUUACGACCAGGGCUACACACGUGCUACAAUGGUAGGUACAGAGGGCAGCUACACAGCGAUGUGAUGCGAAUCUCAAAAAGCCUAUCGUAGUCCAGAUUGGAGUCUGCAACUCGACUCCAUGAAGUAGGAAUCGCUAGUAAUCGCGGAUCAGAAUGCCGCGGUGAAUACGUUCCCGGGCCUU
Molecule: ribosomal RNA, 466 nt
Filed under: uncultured bacterium
Lineage: Bacteria
Description: bacterial SSU rRNA
Rfam family: Bacterial small subunit ribosomal RNA
Source: RNAcentral